RNAcentral lists this ribosomal RNA (439 nucleotides) under uncultured bacterium. RNAcentral's name for it is "partial 16S ribosomal RNA". It matches the Rfam family "Bacterial small subunit ribosomal RNA", at positions 339 to 795 of the family's 1533-position model. The record is from RNAcentral.
CUACGGGGCGCUCCAGUAGGGAAUCUUAGACAAUGGGGGAAACCCUGAUCUAGCCAUGCCGCGUGAGUGAUAAAGGCCUUAGGGUUGUAAAGCUCUUUCGCUGGGGAAGAUAAUGACGGUACCCAGUAAAGAAACCCCGGCUAACUCCGUGCCAGCAGCCGCGGUAAUACGGAGGGGGUUAGCGUUGUUCGGAACUACUGGGCGUAAAGCGCGCGUAGGCGGGCUAUUAAGUCAGGGGUGAAAUCCCGGGGCUCAACCCCGGAACUGCCUUUGAUACUGGUAGUCUUGAGUUCGAGAGAGGUGAGUGGAAUUCCGAGUGUAGAGGUGAAAUUCGUAGAUAUUCGGAGGAACAUCAGUGGCGAAGGCGACUCACUGGCUCGAUACUGACGCUGAGGUGCGAAAGUGUGGGGAGCAAACAGGAUUAGAUACCCCCGUAGUC